UUCUAAUACAUUCAUACA
RNAcentral lists this microRNA (18 nucleotides) under Corchorus capsularis. RNAcentral's name for it is "sRNA CCACVL1_20179". The record is from RNAcentral. Lineage: Eukaryota; Viridiplantae; Streptophyta; Magnoliopsida; Malvales; Malvaceae.